AACGAACGCUGGCGGCGCGCCUAAUACAUGCAAGUCGAGCGAGAAGACGUAGCAAGUACGUUUGUAAAGCGGCGAACGGGUGAGGAAUACAUGGGUAACCUACCCUCGAGUGGGGAAUAACUAGCCGAAAGGUUAGCUAAUACCGCGUACGCUCCUUGGACUUCGGUUCAGGGAGGAAAGCGAUACCGUGGGUAUCGCGCUCUUGGAUGGGCUCAUGUCCUAUCAGCUUGUUGGUGAGGUAACGGCUCACCAAGGCUUCGACGGGUAGCUGGUCUGAGAGGACGAUCAGCCACACUGGCACUGCGACACGGGCCAGACUCCUACGGGAGGCAGCAGUGAGGAAUAUUGCGCAA
This 353-nucleotide ribosomal RNA is filed under the name uncultured bacterium. RNAcentral describes it as "bacterial SSU rRNA". It matches the Rfam family "Bacterial small subunit ribosomal RNA", at positions 29 to 371 of the family's 1533-position model. The record is from RNAcentral.